UGAGGAUUUGAGGUGAGCUGCAGUGGUAGCAAGGAGGAGAAUAGGACCAGUGACUUGUCCAAGAGUAACAGUAACUUUGCAUCUCUUGGCAUCUUGGGACCACAAGCGAUGAUGGCUACAGGGUCCAUCUCUGGAAGAUGUGGACAGGCUAGAUGCGUGCCAAAGAGCAGCACAGGAGGGGAGCAGAGGGCUGUAAGAAGGUGUGAAGCAAUUAGCACAGCAGCCUAUUGGUGCU
Molecule: long non-coding RNA, 235 nt
Organism: Grus americana (Whooping crane)
Lineage: Eukaryota; Metazoa; Chordata; Aves; Gruiformes; Gruidae
Exons: 3
Source: RefSeq, a predicted model, not a curated record